RNAcentral lists this ribosomal RNA (254 nucleotides) under uncultured bacterium. Its description in RNAcentral is "partial 16S ribosomal RNA". It matches the Rfam family "Bacterial small subunit ribosomal RNA", at positions 524 to 777 of the family's 1533-position model. The record is from RNAcentral.
GACGAGGGAUCCUAGCGUUGUUCGGAAUCAUUGGGCGUAAAGCGGGUGUAGGCGGACUUAUAAGUCAGGUGUGAAAUCCCAGGGCUCAACCCUGGAAGUGCAUUUGAUACUGUAAGUCUUGAAUGUGGUAGAGGUUACUGGAAUUGCUGGUGUAGUGGUGAAAUACGUAGAUAUCAGCAGGAACACCGGAGGCGAAGGCGGGUAACUGGGCCAACAUUGACGCUGAGACCCGAAAGCGUGGGGAUCAAACAGGA